GUACGUUCUCAGGGCGGGGUGAAAUUCCCCACCGGCGGUAACGGGGAUAUCCCGGAGCCCGCGAGCGCUUCCGGUUAACUGCCGGAAGGUCAGCAGAUCCGGUUGAAUUCCGGAGCCGACGGUUAAAGUCCGGAAGGAAGAGAGCAAGC
Molecule: non-coding RNA, 149 nt
Filed under: Rhizobium sp.
Lineage: Bacteria; Pseudomonadati; Pseudomonadota; Alphaproteobacteria; Hyphomicrobiales; Rhizobiaceae
Description: FMN sequence
Rfam family: FMN riboswitch aptamer (RFN element)
About the family: The RFN element is a highly conserved domain that is found frequently in the 5'-untranslated regions of prokaryotic mRNAs that encode for flavin mononucleotide (FMN) biosynthesis and transport proteins. This element is a metabolite-dependent riboswitch that directly binds FMN in the absence of proteins.
Source: RNAcentral